This 366-nucleotide ribosomal RNA is filed under the name uncultured Pelotomaculum sp. RNAcentral describes it as "bacterial SSU rRNA". It matches the Rfam family "Bacterial small subunit ribosomal RNA", at positions 1016 to 1382 of the family's 1533-position model. The record is from RNAcentral. Lineage: Bacteria; Bacillati; Bacillota; Clostridia; Eubacteriales; Desulfotomaculaceae.
UCCUUCGGGCAAUGGAUACAGGUGGUGCACGGUUGUCGUCAGCUCGUGUCGUGAGAUGUUGGGUUAAGUCCCGCAACGAGCGCAACCCCCACGUUUAGUUGCUAACGCGUGAAGGCGAGCACUCUAGACGAACUGCCGUUGACAAAACGGAGGAAGGUGGGGAUGACGUCAAAUCAUCAUGCCCCUUAUGUUCUGGGCUACACACGUGCUACAAUGGCCGGUACAGACGGACGCAAAGCCGCGAGGUGGAGCAAAUCCUAAAAAGCCGGUCUCAGUUCGGAUUGCAGGCUGCAAUUCGCCUGCAUGAAGUCGGAAUCGCUAGUAAUCGCAGGUCAGCAUACUGCGGUGAAUACGUUCCCGGGCCUU